GAACUGGGAGAUUUAGUUUCUUCACCUAAGAUCCUAAAAUUGGCUGUGAUCUGAAGUUCCUUGAUUCUUUGAUUGAAAGCAGCAGAGACCAACACCAGUAGUGGAGCGACAGACUUCCAGGUCUAUGGCACUAUGGAUUUGGUGACAGAAGUCCGAGAGACUCGGGUUCGAUCCCUGGGUCAGGAAGAUCCCCUGGAAGAUGCCAUGGCAACCCACUUCAGUAUUCUUGCCUGGAGAAUUCCAUGGACAGAAGAGCCUGGAGGUCUAAGAUCCACAGAGUCGCAGAGAGUCGGACAUGACUGAAGUGACUUAGCAUACAAGCAUGCAUGCUUGUGGUGGGCAGUGGCCUCCCUCUCCGCCUGUCCUUCGUUCCUCCAUGUGGCUCCACUGCACACUACAGGAAAUCUGCAGCUUCCCUGGCUUCCCCCAACCCCUACCCCCCGCCACCUGGCAUAAAACUGUCUGGCUUUGGGGCAGAAUCCAAAGCAAUGGAAAGGAUCCACUUAAAAGAAGCACAGAAACAUAUAGUUCUCUCUCUCUUUUUAUUACAUAGGGAAUUACAACAAUGUGCUUCAAUGGGCAUUUCUAUUAUUUGAUUUGAAUACUAAACUUCAUUAGCUUUUAGCCCAACUUGUGAUUCCAGUAACUGACGUUUGUCAAAAAUGAGGUUUGGACGUGUCUUUUUGGCUUGGGUAAAUUAAAAGAAGAAUUUUUUGAACUGGGUUGAGGCGAGCUCCGCACACCAAGGGCACAAAUAGACCCUCCAUCAGCCUCUGCGGCAGGGACGGCCGGACAGGAGGCCCUGCUCGCUGGUGCACGUGAGCAUCCCCAGGGCCUCCAGAAGACGAGUAUGCCUCCGGCUUUUACUCAGCUGCCUCACCCUCACUCUCUCAGCAAUGAAGCCCUAUCAUUCUUAUUUGAUGAUUCUUUUUU
This is a long non-coding RNA of Bos taurus (domestic cattle), 933 nucleotides long. NCBI's taxonomy places the organism in Eukaryota, Metazoa, Chordata, Mammalia, Artiodactyla, Bovidae. The record is from Ensembl.